UACGUAGGCAGCAAGCGUUGUUCGGAGUUACUGGGCGUAAAGGGUGCGUAGGCGGCUUUUUAAGUUUGGUGUGAAAUCUCCCGGCUCAACUGGGAGGGUGCGCCGAAUACUGAGAGGCUAGAGUGUGGGAGAGGAAAGUGGAAUUCCUGGUGUAGCGGUGAAAUGCGUAGAUAUCAGGAGGAACACCGGUGGUGUAAACGGCUUUCUGGACCAUAACUGACGCUGAGGCACGGAAGCGUGGGUAGCAAACAGG
Molecule: ribosomal RNA, 253 nt
Filed under: uncultured bacterium
Lineage: Bacteria
Description: partial 16S ribosomal RNA
Rfam family: Bacterial small subunit ribosomal RNA
Source: RNAcentral